AGCGUACACGGUGGAUGCCCUGGCAGUCAGAGGCGAUGAAGGACGUGCUAAUCUGCGAUAAGCGUCGGUGAGGUGAUAUGAACCGUUAUAACCGGCGAUUUCCGAAUGGGGAAACCCAGUGUGAUUCGUCACACUAUCAUUAACUGAAUCCAUAGGUUAAUGAGGCGAACCGGGGGAACUGAAACAUCUAAGUACCCCGAGGAAAAGAAAUCAACCGAGAUUCCCCCAGUAGCGGCGAGCGAACGGGGAGGAGCCCAGAGCCUGAAUCAGUGUGUGUGUUAGUGGAAGCGUCUGGAAAGGCGCGCGAUACAGGGUGACAGCCCCGUACACAAAAAUGCACAUACUGUGAGCUCGAUGAGUAGGGCGGGACACGUGGUAUCCUGUCUGAAUAUGGGGGGACCAUCCUCCAAGGCUAAAUACUCCUGACUGACCGAUAGUGAACCAGUACCGUGAGGGAAAGGCGAAAAGAACCCCGGCGAGGGGAGUGAAAAAGAACCUGAAACCGUGUACGUACAAGCAGUGGGAGCCUCUUUUAUGGGGUGACUGCGUACCUUUUGUAUAAUGGGUCAGCGACUUAUAUUCUGUAGCAAGGUUAACCGAAUAGGGGAGCCGAAGGGAAACCGAGUCUUAACUGGGCGUUAAGUUGCAGGGUAUAGACCCGAAACCCGGUGAUCUAGCCAUGGGCAGGUUGAAGGUUGGGUAACACUAACUGGAGGACCGAACCGACUAAUGUUGAAAAAUUAGCGGAUGACUUGUGGCUGGGGGUGAAAGGCCAAUCAAACCGGGAGAUAGCUGGUUCUCCCCGAAAGCUAUUUAGGUAGCGCCUCGUGAAUUCAUCUCCGGGGGUAGAGCACUGUUUCGGCAAGGGGGUCAUCCCGACUUACCAACCCGAUGCAAACUGCGAAUACCGGAGAAUGUUAUCACGGGAGACACACGGCGGGUGCUAACGUCCGUCGUGAAGAGGGAAACAACCCAGACCGCCAGCUAAGGUCCCAAAGUCAUGGUUAAGUGGGAAACGAUGUGGGAAGGCCCAGACAGCCAGGAUGUUGGCUUAGAAGCAGCCAUCAUUUAAAGAAAGCGUAAUAGCUCACUGGUCGAGUCGGCCUGCGCGGAAGAUGUAACGGGGCUAAACCAUGCACCGAAGCUGCGGCAGCGACGCUUAUGCGUUGUUGGGUAGGGGAGCGUUCUGUAAGCCUGUGAAGGUGGCCUGUGAGGGUUGCUGGAGGUAUCAGAAGUGCGAAUGCUGACAUAAGUAACGAUAAAGCGGGUGAAAAGCCCGCUCGCCGGAAGACCAAGGGUUCCUGUCCAACGUUAAUCGGGGCAGGGUGAGUCGACCCCUAAGGCGAGGCCGAAAGGCGUAGUCGAUGGGAAACAGGUUAAUAUUCCUGUACUUGGUGUUACUGCGAAGGGGGGACGGAGAAGGCUAUGUUGGCCGGGCGACGGUUGUCCCGGUUUAAGCGUGUAGGCUGGUUUUCCAGGCAAAUCCGGAAAAUCAAGGCUGAGGCGUGAUGACGAGGCACUACGGUGCUGAAGCGACAAAUGCCCUGCUUCCAGGAAAAGCCUCUAAGCAUCAGGUAACAUCAAAUCGUACCCCAAACCGACACAGGUGGUCAGGUAGAGAAUACCAAGGCGCUUGAGAGAACUCGGGUGAAGGAACUAGGCAAAAUGGUGCCGUAACUUCGGGAGAAGGCACGCUGAUAUGUAGGUGAAGCGACUUGCUCGUGGAGCUGAAAUCAGUCGAAGAUACCAGCUGGCUGCAACUGUUUAUUAAAAACACAGCACUGUGCAAACACGAAAGUGGACGUAUACGGUGUGACGCCUGCCCGGUGCCGGAAGGUUAAUUGAUGGGGUUAGCGGCAACGCGAAGCUCUUGAUCGAAGCCCCGGUAAACGGCGGCCGUAACUAUAACGGUCCUAAGGUAGCGAAAUUCCUUGUCGGGUAAGUUCCGACCUGCACGAAUGGCGUAAUGAUGGCCAGGCUGUCUCCACCCGAGACUCAGUGAAAUUGAACUCGCUGUGAAGAUGCAGUGUACCCGCGGCAAGACGGAAAGACCCCGUGAACCUUUACUAUAGCUUGACACUGAACAUUGAGCCUUGAUGUGUAGGAUAGGUGGGAGGCUUUGAAGUGUGGACGCCAGUCUGCAUGGAGCCGACCUUGAAAUACCACCCUUUAAUGUUUGAUGUUCUAACGUGGGCCCCUUACCGGGGUUGCGGACAGUGUCUGGUGGGUAGUUUGACUGGGGCGGUCUCCUCCUAAAGAGUAACGGAGGAGCACGAAGGUUGGCUAAUCCUGGUCGGACAUCAGGAGGUUAGUGCAAUGGCAUAAGCCAGCUUGACUGCGAGCGUGACGGCGCGAGCAGGUGCGAAAGCAGGUCAUAGUGAUCCGGUGGUUCUGAAUGGAAGGGCCAUCGCUCAACGGAUAAAAGGUACUCCGGGGAUAACAGGCUGAUACCGCCCAAGAGUUCAUAUCGACGGCGGUGUUUGGCACCUCGAUGUCGGCUCAUCACAUCCUGGGGCUGAAGUAGGUCCCAAGGGUAUGGCUGUUCGCCAUUUAAAGUGGUACGCGAGCUGGGUUUAGAACGUCGUGAGACAGUUCGGUCCCUAUCUGCCGUGGGCGCUGGAGAACUGAGGGGGGCUGCUCCUAGUACGAGAGGACCGGAGUGGACGCAUCACUGGUGUUCGGGUUGUCAUGCCAAUGGCACUGCCCGGUAGCUAAAUGCGGAAGAGAUAAGUGCUGAAAGCAUCUAAGCACGAAACUUGCCCCGAGAUGAGUUCU
RNAcentral lists this ribosomal RNA (2775 nucleotides) under Escherichia coli. RNAcentral's name for it is "bacterial LSU rRNA". It matches the Rfam family "Bacterial large subunit ribosomal RNA". The record is from RNAcentral. Lineage: Bacteria; Pseudomonadati; Pseudomonadota; Gammaproteobacteria; Enterobacterales; Enterobacteriaceae.